This 825-nucleotide ribosomal RNA is filed under the name uncultured bacterium. RNAcentral's name for it is "bacterial SSU rRNA". It matches the Rfam family "Bacterial small subunit ribosomal RNA", at positions 44 to 863 of the family's 1533-position model. The record is from RNAcentral.
AGGCUUAACACAUGCAAGUCGAGCGGGGAAGGGUAGCUUGCUAUCUGACCUAGCGGCGGACGGGUGAGUAAUGCUUAGGAAUCUGCCUAUUAGUGGGGGACAACAUUCCGAAAGGAAUGCUAAUACCGCAUACGCCCUACGGGGGAAAGCAGGGGAUCUUCGGACCUUGCGCUAAUAGAUGAGCCUAAGUCAGAUUAGCUAGUUGGUGGGGUAAAGGCCUACCAAGGCGACGAUCUGUAGCGGGUCUGAGAGGAUGAUCCGCCACACUGGGACUGAGACACGGCCCAGACUCCUACGGGAGGCAGCAGUGGGGAAUAUUGGACAAUGGGCGAAAGCCUGAUCCAGCCAUGCCGCGUGUGUGAAGAAGGCCUUUUGGUUGUAAAGCACUUUAAGCGAGGAGGAGGCUACCGAGAUUAAUACUCUUGGAUAGUGGACGUUACUCGCAGAAUAAGCACCGGCUAACUCUGUGCCAGCAGCCGCGGUAAUACAGAGGGUGCGAGCGUUAAUCGGAUUUACUGGGCGUAAAGCGUGCGUAGGCGGCUUUUUAAGUCGGAUGUGAAAUCCCUGAGCUUAACUUAGGAAUUGCAUUCGAUACUGGGAAGCUAGAGUAUGGGAGAGGAUGGUAGAAUUCCAGGUGUAGCGGUGAAAUGCGUAGAGAUCUGGAGGAAUACCGAUGGCGAAGGCAGCCAUCUGGCCUAAUACUGACGCUGAGGUACGAAAGCAUGGGGAGCAAACAGGAUUAGAUACCCUGGUAGUCCAUGCCGUAAACGAUGUCUACUAGCCGUUGGGGCCUUUGAGGCUUUAGUGGCGCAGCUAACGCGAUAA